Molecule: ribosomal RNA, 464 nt
Filed under: uncultured bacterium
Lineage: Bacteria
Description: bacterial SSU rRNA
Rfam family: Bacterial small subunit ribosomal RNA
Source: RNAcentral
AGUGAACGUUUGCGGCGGGCUUAACACAUGCAAGUCGAACGGGCUGUUCCUUUGGGGGCAGUCAGUGGCGCACGGGUGCGUAACGCGUAGGUAAUCAACCCUCUGGUUGGGGAUAACACUUCGAAAGGAGUGCUAAUACCCGGUAUGGCGCAGCGGUCUUCGGAUCGCGGCGAGAAAGACCCGCAAGGGUUGCCAGAGGACGAGCCUGCGGCCCAUCAGCUAGUUGGCGAGGUAACGGCUCACCAAGGCGAAGACGGGUAGCUGGUCUGAGAGGAUGAUCAGCCACACUGGAACUGAGACACGGUCCAGACUCCUACGGGAGGCAGCAGUGGGGAAUAUUGCGCAAUGGGCGAAAGCCUGACGCAGCCACGCCGCGUGAGCGAUGAAGGCCUCGGUCGUAAGACUCUGUGGGAGGAGAAGAAUAAAGACCUGUGAAGAGCAGGCCUUGACGGUAGUCUCCUUAG